RNAcentral lists this long non-coding RNA (1543 nucleotides) under Nicotiana tabacum (common tobacco). RNAcentral's name for it is "long non-coding RNA (NTAB_LNC011745)". Lineage: Eukaryota; Viridiplantae; Streptophyta; Magnoliopsida; Solanales; Solanaceae. The record is from RNAcentral.
UUCUUUCAUUUGGCUCGGACGAUUUUGAAGAGCUCAAGGAGGGAUUUUCACCAAGCAACACUAGGUAAGUGAUUUCUUCCUAUUUUUGAGUUNNNNNNNNNNNNNNNNNNNNNNNNNNNNNNNNNNNNNNNNNNNNNNNAUGUGAUCUUACAUGGAUUUAGACAUGAAAAAUUAGUAUAAAUUUGGGAUUUUUGAGGAAUAUCUAGAAUUUAGAAUUUUGAACUUUUACCUUGAAUUUGAGCCUGAAAAUUAGAACAAAUUGUGUAUUUGAGAUAGUAAAGCUAUGGGUAGAAUUUAUCUUCGAGAAAUUUCGGAAUCCGGGCACGUGGACCCGAGGGCAUUUUGGUCAACUUUUCGAGGGGAGUUGGAAACUUAUAUAAUUUGAAUUGUUACAAGUAUUAUAGUGAAUUUUAUUGGUUUUCCCAUUAUUUGAAUAGUUUUGGGGCAUUGUGCAUCAAUUGGAGUCGUUGGAAGGGCUUGGAAGCCGGUUAUGGAAAUUUCGGAGCGAGGUGAGUCUCCUUUCUAACCUUGUAAGAGGGAAUUGUCCCCAUAGUGAAAUAAUUGGUUGUGUGGGGCUACGUACGCACGAGAUGACGAGAGUCCGUGCAUAGCUACUAUUAUGUGUAAGUUUAGGUAGUCUAGGAUCCAAAAGCAUGUUAUACUUGGAAUAUCUGUAAUCUUGUUGGCAGUUGAAUUGCUUAAAUCUUAUCGAAUUGGUAAAUGAAUUUCUAAAAGGAAUUAAACUUCAUUUCCUUAAAUCGCUAAAAGAGAAUUGGCUUUUAUUUGGAUAAAUGUUCCCCGAUAAAUUCUUAAUUUGCUGUUUGAGCAUGUAUUUCUGUGUACCUGCGUCGCAUGUAUGAUUCGCGAGUAGGGUGUUUGUUUAUUUAUGUUGACCGCGUCACAUGUACGACUCGUGAGCAGGGUAAUAGAUGCAUAUAUGGUUCACGCCAUUCAACCCUCGACAGUGCACAUUUUACAUUUCUGUUGGAUCGGGCCGUACAACCUCAGCAUGAUAUGCGCAUGCUUGUAUUGCUUGCCUGAGAAUUUUUAAUGUUGAUAAUUGCCUUACCUGGCCAGAGAUAAAUUGAUAAAGAUAAUGAAAAGUAAAUCUUUGGAAAUUUUUAUUAUUUGAGAAGUUGUUUUCUUGCUUUCCGGCUUUAUAAUUUUAAUUUUGCUUAUGAAUUCAUUAAUUUCUCACACUUUUACAAUAUUAUCAUUGGACCACUAAUAAGUGUCGAAGUCGACCUCUCAUCUCUGCUUCUUCAAGAUUAGACGGGAUACUCAUUGGGUACACGUUGUUUUCGUACUCAUACCACGCUUGUUGUGCAUUUUUGUUACACAGGCACGUACAUCUCUAGUGGCCUAAUGGGCGUAGCAGCAUGGUUGAUAUGGAGACUUAGGUGAGCUUCACUUCUUGAGACUACCCGCAGCCAGCAAAGUCUCUUUCAAAUUAUUGUAUUUACUUUCUGUCCAAUAUUGUAUUCCGGACGGUUGUUGUACUACAUUAUUUCCUAGAAAUUGCUCAUGUACUUGUGACACCGGG